UCUUCAUUUCACGUACUCCCUCACCGGUCAGACAUGUGAGAUAGUGUGUGAAAUGAAGAGA
This 61-nucleotide microRNA precursor is filed under the name Pristionchus pacificus. Its description in RNAcentral is "mir-8364 microRNA precursor family". It matches the Rfam family "mir-8364 microRNA precursor family". Lineage: Eukaryota; Metazoa; Nematoda; Chromadorea; Rhabditida; Neodiplogasteridae. The record is from Rfam by way of RNAcentral.